AUGGCCAUAUCAUGUUGAAAACUGGUUCUCAUAUGAUCACCAAAGUUAAGCAAUGUCAAGCCUGGUCAGUACCAAGAUUGGUGACCACUUAGGAAUACCAGAUGCUGUAA
Molecule: non-coding RNA, 110 nt
Organism: Acanthosepion pharaonis
Lineage: Eukaryota; Metazoa; Mollusca; Cephalopoda; Sepiida; Sepiidae
Source: the annotation of a GenBank genome assembly